UACGUAGGUGGCGAGCGUUAUCCGGAUUUACUGGGUGUAAAGGGCGCGUAGGCGGGAAUGCAAGUCAGAUGUGAAAUCCAGGGGCUCAACCCUUGAACUGCAUUUGAAACUGUAUUUCUUGAGUGUCGGAGAGGUUGACGGAAUUCCUAGUGUAGCGGUGAAAUGCGUAGAUAUUAGGAGGAACACCAGUGGCGAAGGCGGUCAACUGGACGAUAACUGACGCUGAGGCGCGAAAGCGUGGGGAGCAAACAGG
Molecule: ribosomal RNA, 253 nt
Filed under: uncultured bacterium
Lineage: Bacteria
Description: partial 16S ribosomal RNA
Rfam family: Bacterial small subunit ribosomal RNA
Source: RNAcentral